AACAGUCUCUUUAACACGGAACACCGAUGGCGGCUAGUUCAGAACACCAUAGUGAUAAUCCUUCAGUUGUGAUGUACGUGUAGUGCACGCGUUUCCAUUGUAAUAACGUACGACUAAAGCGCAUGCACUUUUGUCUCCAAGGACACGACCCAUCACAUCCAACCGGCGUGAUGACGGUGUGAUUGCUCUCGCCGUAAUGCACACGGAAGCGUGUGAUAAGAACACAGCCACCGUACGCACGAGACUCAAACCAGUGCAAAUAAAACCGAAAGAAAAUAAUAACGGGUGAAGGAAAUGGAAAGAGAAAAAAAGAAAAAAAGAGCUUUUACCACAACCGCGAUCGUGUGAAUCGGUUCGUAGUGCACACACACACGCGCACGCACUCUUGGAAAUAUCGUACUCAUCACGGCAUCACAAUGGACGUUUUUCGAACGCAAACACGGCGGCGGCAACGGUAACGGACACAUCCUAUGAGUGUUGACCCUUACCAUAGGGGUCAGUCUACGCCUGCUUCGAGGAACGUGUGCAGUCAUGGUCUGGUGUACACACGCACAACUACACACAGAUAUUGCAGUUAAACUGAAUUCACUACAUGUGAUCUUCGGUUUACUUACAGCGUUGCCGAAUGAGUAGAAGAGGUAAUAGUUCUAAAAAGUAUGCAUGAUGACCACCAAGGUAUUGUGUAUAAUUAAAAACUGUAAAACACAAACAAUUUAUAAAUCUAUAAAAAUGUUUAAUGUGUGUAACAAACCUACACACGUCCCCUCGGGUCGGA
Long non-coding RNA from Sipha flava (yellow sugarcane aphid), 775 nucleotides. RefSeq lists it as uncharacterized. The transcript is spliced from 3 exons. The record is from RefSeq and is a predicted model, not a curated record. NCBI's taxonomy places the organism in Eukaryota, Metazoa, Arthropoda, Insecta, Hemiptera, Aphididae.